Molecule: ribosomal RNA, 496 nt
Filed under: uncultured bacterium
Lineage: Bacteria
Description: partial 16S ribosomal RNA
Rfam family: Bacterial small subunit ribosomal RNA
Source: RNAcentral
ACUCAAAUGAAUUGACGGGGGCCCGCACAAGCGGCGGAGCAUGUGGCUUAAUUCGACGCAACGCGAAGAACCUUACCUGGGCUUGACAUGCGGGGUAAAGCCGUGGAAACACGGUGCCCUUCGGGGCCCGCACAGGUGGUGCAUGGCUGUCGUCAGCUCGUGCCGUGAGGUGUUGCCUUAAGUGGCGCAACGAGCGCAACCCCUGUCCCUAGUUGCCAGCGGGUAAAGCCGGGAACUCUAGGGAGACUGCCGGUGCCAAACCGGAGGAAGGUGGGGAUGACGUCAAGUCAUCAUGCCCCUUACGUCCAGGGCUGCACACAUGCUACAAUGCGUGGUACAAAGGGCUGCAAUCCUGCAAGGGGGAGCGAAUCCCAAAAAGCCACGCUCAGUUCGGAUCGGGGUCUGCAACUCGACCCCGUGAAGUCGGAGUCGCUAGUAAUCGCAGAUCAGCAACGCUGCGGUGAAUACGUUCCCGGGCCUUGUACACACCGCCCGU